GUGGGGAAUAUUGCGCAAUGGGGGAAACCCUGACGCAGCGACGCCGUGUGAGGGAAGAAGGCUCUCGGGUCGUAAACCUCUGUCAGAAGGGAAGAACCUCCCGGGUCCGAACAGGCCCCGGGACUGACGGUACCUUCAAAGGAAGCGCCGGCUAACUCCGUGCCAGCAGCCGCGGUAAUACGGAGGGCGCAAGCGUUAAUCGGAAUCACUGGGCGUAAAGCGCGCGUAGGCCGCUUUUUAAGUCGGACGUGAAAGCCCUCGGCUCAACCGGGGAACUGCGUUGGAUACUGGGAGGCUUGAGUCCUGGAGAGGGUGGCGGAAUUCCGGGUGUAGGAGUGAAAUCCGUAGAUAUCCGGAGGAACACCGGUGGCGAAGGCGGCCACCUGGACAGGUACUGACGCUGAGGCGCGAAAGCGUGGGGAGCAAACAGGAUUAGAAACCCCAGUAGUCC
This 451-nucleotide ribosomal RNA is filed under the name uncultured bacterium. RNAcentral describes it as "partial 16S ribosomal RNA". It matches the Rfam family "Bacterial small subunit ribosomal RNA", at positions 354 to 796 of the family's 1533-position model. The record is from RNAcentral.